GGGCUAUUAGCUCAGUUGGUUAGAGCGCACCCCUGAUAAGGGUGAGGUCCCAGGUUCGAAUCCUGGAUGGCCCA
Transfer RNA from Chrysochromulina sp., 74 nucleotides. It matches the Rfam family "tRNA". From Rfam's summary of the family: Transfer RNA (tRNA) molecules are approximately 80 nucleotides in length. Their secondary structure includes four short double-helical elements and three loops (D, anti-codon, and T loops). The record is from Rfam. Lineage: Eukaryota; Haptophyta; Prymnesiales; Chrysochromulinaceae.